CUCGUGACGCGUUGUUGCUCAGUGCGCUGUGUUGUGUGUUUUGUGUCACAACGGAAAUUAAUUAUAUUUUCUAGAACUAACCAAGACUUCGUACAUUAAUUGACUUAUAUGUGCUGAACGGUAUCCACCUCAACUUGAAUAAAUUAAGGACACAAUGUCAUGUCCAGUCUGAUGGAGAAUUUACAAUAUUAAUCUGUAUGAGCAUGGUCGUAAUUUGACCAAGCUGGUGGUCUGCAAAGCCAAAAAUCGCUGGACUCCUGAGCUUCAACUGCCCUAGAGAUGGACGGGGCGGGGCCGGCGCUGGUGCGGCGCGGCUCCAUGCGGAAGCUGCUGCCCAGCGUACCGGACCAGCAGCAGCAGCUGGCCAUGAGUAACCAGCUGAUCGACAGCCGGACCAGCUCGCCGCGCGGCGCCCACUGCUACGGGCCGUUCUUCCUCGAGUAUGCCCUGCUGGCCGAGUACAACCUGCUGCAGCGGCAGCGGCUGCCCGGCGUGUACACCGUGCCCGCCGCGCGGACGCCGCUGGUGUGGUUCGGAGUGCUGUUCAUACGGCAGGGCUACUACCAGGAGGGCGUGUUCCGGUUCUCCGUCAUCAUCCCUGAGCAGUUUCCCGACGGAGACUGCCCGCGAGUGGUAAUGGAGACGCCCGUCUUCCACCCGCUCGUCCACCCGGAGACGGGCGAGGUGGACAUCCGGCGCGGCUUCCAGCGGUGGAAGCGCAACUCGCAUCACAUCUGGCACGUGCUGCUCUACCUGCGGAAGGCCUUCUACAAGAUCGAGACGGUGCAGCCGUCCAACCCGGAGGCGGCCGUCAUGUUUGAGAAGGCGCGUGACAUGUUCGCGCUGCGAGCCGCCGAGUGUGUGAAGCUGAGCAGGGACCGGCUGAUGGACCCGCCGGCCUCUGACGACCCGCACAGUAUUGUGUUCAGCCAGUUCCGGCCCGAGGUGCACGAGCCCGUCCGACAGGCCAUGCUCCAGCCCAAGAAGGAGGAGGACCUGCCCUCGGGACCGGCCAGCGCCGGCUACUCCUGGGUCCAGCCAGGCACUCUGGACAUCUUCUCCAAGCCCGAGUCGCUCUGAGGUCCGCCCGCCGCGCCGGACAGCCCGAGUGUGACGCUGAGUGACGUUACGGAGGGGUGAUGUGACGGCGAGUGACGUGACGGACGGGCAGCGUGACGGCGAGUGAUGUGACACUGAGUGACGUGACGUCAGCCGGGCCCUCGGACGGUGAUGCGCCGCCGAACCAAAGCGCCCGAGAGACUGUGAUUGUGUGUGUGAUAAAGAGUUACUUCCUCGAAGACGCUAGUACGUGGCUCCAACUAAGGACUGCAACAGCUAACUUUAAACUCGAAGAUUACCAUCGUCAAGAGUGACGUAAUGAAUCAUAGUGCAGUCUGCAGGUGGACAAACACCCCGCGCAACUGACUUCCUAUUAGUGGCGACGGAUGGAGAGACAUCUACUACGCUGUGAGGCGGACGACCUUGCAGUAGCGACCCACCCGACGAGCCGUCUGGCAGUACAGGGGACCGCGGCGACAAAAUCAAUGAUAUUCUGAGAACGAGAGCCGCGGGGCUGCGAUAUUGACCGUAGUUAGCCGUGUAGUGCGGGACCCGCCGAGACGGGUUCGGCGAAUAUUGUAUAACAAUAUUGUAUAACAAUGUAAAACAAGACGUAGUUUGGCAGCCGAUUCAGAGUGAAUUUCGCUUGCAUGCGUCGUUAGGAGUUGAAGUCUGAGGCAUGAAAUACGAAGCACAAGUACAUCCUAAUAGUUCUUCACCAUUAAUAUUUAAACAUUAACAUGUAUGUACCGAUUGUAUGUGAUGCUAUGCUACGUUUGUUCCUCCCUGAUCAUAAUUGAUAUUCGUAAUUGUAUGUUGCUGAUCUAUGAAGGCGAUUGCCGAUAUUGUAUCCCGCUAGUGUGUCUUCCAUGGUUGCGCGCAUUCCCUCUAUGAAGUCCACCGUUACCCCGAUUCCAGGGGCGAAGUGACACUGACAUGGAUAAUAUGUCCCGCAUAAUGAUGUGUGAAUGAUCCGUCUCGUCUGACGAAUUCCUAACCCGUUUUAAUGCCGACACUGACGUGCUUCCUGUGAUUCUAGUAGCGGCGGAACCGAACCAGGCCUGGACGCAGCUUCUAAUUAGAGCCUGGCGCCGCCGUGGUUAUUUAAUAAAUGGCUAAUGCAUC
Molecule: unclassified non-coding RNA, 2184 nt
Filed under: Amphibalanus amphitrite
Lineage: Eukaryota; Metazoa; Arthropoda; Thecostraca; Balanomorpha; Balanidae
Description: aKT-interacting protein-like, transcript variant X1
Source: RNAcentral